This 1136-nucleotide ribosomal RNA is filed under the name Bacillus sp. BAB-1041. Its description in RNAcentral is "bacterial SSU rRNA". It matches the Rfam family "Bacterial small subunit ribosomal RNA", at positions 215 to 1344 of the family's 1533-position model. Lineage: Bacteria; Bacillati; Bacillota; Bacilli; Caryophanales; Bacillaceae. The record is from RNAcentral.
UCACUUACAGAUGGACCCGCGGCGCAUUAGCUAGUUGGUGGGGUAAUGGCUCACCAAGGCGACGAUGCGUAGCCGACCUGAGAGGGUGAUCGGCCACACUGGGACUGAGACACGGCCCAGACUCCUACGGGAGGCAGCAGUAGGGAAUCUUCCGCAAUGGACGAAAGUCUGACGGAGCAACGCCGCGUGAGUGAUGAAGGUUUUCGGAUCGUAAAGCUCUGUUGUUAGGGAAGAACAAGUGCGAGAGUAACUGCUCGCACCUUGACGGUACCUAACCAGAAAGCCACGGCUAACUACGUGCCAGCAGCCGCGGUAAUACGUAGGUGGCAAGCGUUGUCCGGAAUUAUUGGGCGUAAAGGGCUCGCAGGCGGUUUCUUAAGUCUGAUGUGAAAGCCCCCGGCUCAACCGGGGAGGGUCAUUGGAAACUGGGAAACUUGAGUGCAGAAGAGGAGAGUGGAAUUCCACGUGUAGCGGUGAAAUGCGUAGAGAUGUGGAGGAACACCAGUGGCGAAGGCGACUCUCUGGUCUGUAACUGACGCUGAGGAGCGAAAGCGUGGGGAGCGAACAGGAUUAGAUACCCUGGUAGUCCACGCCGUAAACGAUGAGUGCUAAGUGUUAGGGGGUUUCCGCCCCUUAGUGCUGCAGCUAACGCAUUAAGCACUCCGCCUGGGGAGUACGGUCGCAAGACUGAAACUCAAAGGAAUUGACGGGGGCCCGCACAAGCGGUGGAGCAUGUGGUUUAAUUCGAAGCAACGCGAAGAACCUUACCAGGUCUUGACAUCCUCUGACAACCCUAGAGAUAGGGCUUUCCCUUCGGGGACAGAGUGACAGGUGGUGCAUGGUUGUCGUCAGCUCGUGUCGUGAGAUGUUGGGUUAAGUCCCGCAACGAGCGCAACCCUUGAUCUUAGUUGCCAGCAUUCAGUUGGGCACUCUAAGGUGACUGCCGGUGACAAACCGGAGGAAGGUGGGGAUGACGUCAAAUCAUCAUGCCCCUUAUGACCUGGGCUACACACGUGCUACAAUGGACAGAACAAAGGGCUGCAAGACCGCAAGGUUUAGCCAAUCCCAUAAAUCUGUUCUCAGUUCGGAUCGCAGUCUGCAACUCGACUGCGUGAAGCUGGAAUCGCUAGUAAUCG